UUAAAAGUGUCGUUUAAUAAGAAAAAUAAUGUUAUUUUUAGAUAUAUUAAAAGCGUCAUUUACUGAAAAGUAAAAUGAAAAAAAAAGAAAAAAAUGAAAAAACAAGAAGAAAAAAAACGUAAAAAAAAGAAGAAAAAAAAGGGAAGAAAGCAAGUGAAAAGAGAGGAAAUGUGCUGGCAAGAGGCUUCGGCCUUCGAGCCCCCACCAUUGCCACUUGCGCUAACUAUUCAUAUUGUAAAUGAGGCGCAAACUUAGCAUAUAUAUGAUUUUGAACUGGGUCA
RNAcentral lists this long non-coding RNA (281 nucleotides) under Salvia miltiorrhiza (redroot sage). RNAcentral describes it as "long non-coding RNA (SMIL_LNC004319)". The record is from RNAcentral. Lineage: Eukaryota; Viridiplantae; Streptophyta; Magnoliopsida; Lamiales; Lamiaceae.